This 403-nucleotide ribosomal RNA is filed under the name uncultured bacterium. RNAcentral's name for it is "bacterial SSU rRNA". It matches the Rfam family "Bacterial small subunit ribosomal RNA", at positions 355 to 774 of the family's 1533-position model. The record is from RNAcentral.
UAGGGAAUAUUGCAAAAUGGGCGAAAGCCCGAUGCAGCAACGCCGCGUGGGCGAUGAAGGCCUUCGGGUCGUAAAGCCCUUUUUGAGGGGAUGAGGAAGGACAGUACCCUCAGAAUAAGCCUCGGCUAACUACGUGCCAGCAGCCGCGGUAAAACGUAGGAGGCGAGCGUUAUCCGGAUUUACUGGGCGUAAAGCGCGUGCAGGCGGAUUGGAGAGUUGGAUGUGAAAGCUCCCGGCUUAACUGGGAGAGGUCGUUCAAUACUUCCAGUCUUGAGUGCAGUAGAGGGAAGUGGAAUUCCGGGUGUAGUGGUGAAAUGCGUAGAUAUCUGGAAGAACACCCGUUGCGAAGGCGGUCUCUUGGUCCGACACUGACGCUGAGGCGCGAAAGCGUGGGGAGCAAACA